GAUGAACGCUGGCGGCGUGCCUAAUACAUGCAAGUCGAGCGAACAGACGAGGAGCUUGCUCCUCUGACGUUAGCGGCGGACGGGUGAGUAACACGUGGAUAACCUACCUAUAAGACUGGGAUAACUUCGGGAAACCGGAGCUAAUACCGGAUAAUAUAUUGAACCGCAUGGUUCAAUAGUGAAAGACGGUUUUGCUGUCACUUAUAGAUGGAUCCGCGCCGCAUUAGCUAGUUGGUAAGGUAACGGCUUAUCAAGGCAACGAUGCGUAGCCGACCUGAGAGGGUGAUCGGCCACACUGGAACUGAGACACGGUCCAGACUCCUAUGGGAGGCAGCAGUAGGGAAUCUUCCGCAAUGGGCGAAAGCCUGACGGAGCAACGCCGCGUGAGUGAUGAAGGUCUUCGGAUCGUAAAACUCUGUUAUUAGGGAAGAACAAAUGUGUAAGUAACUAUGCACGUCUUGACGGUACCUAAUCAGAAAGCCACGGCUAACUACGUG
Molecule: ribosomal RNA, 497 nt
Filed under: uncultured bacterium
Lineage: Bacteria
Description: partial 16S ribosomal RNA
Rfam family: Bacterial small subunit ribosomal RNA
Source: RNAcentral